This 1930-nucleotide ribosomal RNA is filed under the name metagenome. RNAcentral describes it as "bacterial LSU rRNA". It matches the Rfam family "Bacterial large subunit ribosomal RNA", at positions 63 to 1988 of the family's 2925-position model. The record is from RNAcentral.
UAACACCGAUAUGCUUCGGGGAGCUGUAAGUAAGCUUUGAUCCGGAGAUUUCCGAAUGGGGAAACCCACUGCUCGUAAUGGAGUAGUAUCUUCACCUGAAUUCAUAGGGUGAUGAUGGCAGACCCGGGGAACUGAAACAUCUAAGUACCCGGAGGAAGAGAAAGCAAACGCGAUUUCCUGAGUAGCGGCGAGCGAAACGGAAGAAGCCCAAACCAAGAGGCUUGCCUCUUGGGGUUGUAGGACACUCUAUACGGAGUUACAAAGGAACGGAGUAAAUGAAGAGGUCUGGAAAGGCCCGUCAAAGAAGGUAACAACCCUGUAGUUGAAACUUCGUUCCCUCCAGAGUGGAUCCUGAGUACGGCGGGACACGUGAAAUCCCGUCGGAAGCAGGGAGGACCAUCUCCCAAGGCUAAAUACUCCCUAGUGACCGAUAGUGAACCAGUACCGUGAGGGAAAGGUGAAAAGCACCCCGGAAGGGGAGUGAAAGAGAUCCUGAAACCGUGUGCCUACAAGUAGUCAAAGCCCGUUAAUGGGUAAUGGCGUGCCUUUUGUAGAAUGAACCGGCGAGUUACGAUCCCGUGCAAGGUUAAGUUGAUAAGACGGAGCCGCAGCGAAAGCGAGUCUGAAUAGGGCGAAAGAGUACGUGGUCGUAGACCCGAAACCAGGUGAUCUACCCAUGUCCAGGGUGAAGUUCAGGUAACACUGAAUGGAGGCCCGAACCCACGCACGUUGAAAAGUGCGGGGAUGAGGUGUGGGUAGCGGAGAAAUUCCAAUCGAACUUGGAGAUAGCUGGUUCUCUCCGAAAUAGCUUUAGGGCUAGCCUUGAAAUGAGAGUCUUGGAGGUAGAGCACUGAUUGGACUAGGGGCCCCCAUCGGGUUACCGAAUUCAGUCAAACUCCGAAUGCCAAAGACUUAUGUUCAGGAGUCAGACUGCGAGUGAUAAGAUCCGUAGUCAAGAGGGAAACAGCCCAGACCACCAGCUAAGGUCCCAAAGUAUACGUUAAGUGGAAAAGGAUGUGGAGUUGCUUAGACAACCAGGAUGUUGGCUUAGAAGCAGCCACCAUUUAAAGAGUGCGUAAUAGCUCACUGGUCGAGUGACUCUGCGCCGAAAAUGUACCGGGGCUAAACGUAUCACCGAAGCUGUGGACUGUUCUUACGAACAGUGGUAGGAGAGCGUUCUAAGGGCUGUGAAGCCAGACCGUAAGGACUGGUGGAGCGCUUAGAAGUGAGAAUGCCGGUAUGAGUAGCGAAAGAGGGGUGAGAAUCCCCUCCACCGAAUGCCUAAGGUUUCCUGAGGAAGGCUCGUCCGCUCAGGGUAAGUCGGGACCUAAGCCGAGGCCGAAAGGCGUAGGCGAUGGCCAACAGGUUGAAAUUCCUGUACCACCUCCUCACCGUUUGAGCAAUGGGGGGACGCAGAAGGAUAGGGUAAGCGCGCUGUUGGAUAUGCGCGUCCAAGCAGUUAGGCUGACAACGAGGCAAAUCCCGUUGUCGUGAAGGCUGAGCUGUGAUGGCGAGGGAAUUAUAGUACCGAAGUUCCUGAUUCCACACUGCCAAGAAAAGCCUCUAGCGAGGUGAGAGGUGCCCGUACCGCAAACCGACACAGGUAGGCGAGGAGAGAAUCCUAAGGUGAGCGAGAGAACUCUCGUUAAGGAACUCGGCAAAAUGACCCCGUAACUUCGGGAGAAGGGGUGCUNNUUNGGGUGAAUAGCCNNGANNAGCCGCAGUGAAUAGGCCCAGGCGACUGUUUAGCAAAAACACAGGUCUCUGCGAAGCCGCAAGGCGAAGUAUAGGGGCUGACGCCUGCCCGGUGCUGGAAGGUUAAGNGGAGNGGUUAGCNCANGCGAAGCUNUGAANCGAAGCCCCAGUAAACGGCGGCCGUAACAAUAACGGUCCUAAGGUAGCGAAAUUCCUUGUCGGGUAAGUUCCGACC